UGGCCGUUCUCAGAGAUGGGACAUUGAAUGAUUGAAUUAUGACUGAGAUAAUGUUCUCCUUGUUUUGAAAGAAGAAAUCACUGGAAAAGGAUGAAGAGAGGUUGAUGCCUUGAUCAAGAUGUCACGAGGAGGCCAACAGAGGAAGAGAGACAGCACUUGAGAAAUCAGACCCAGGACCUCAGAGCUGAACUGCUGCCGAUGUGUGCACGCCCGAGCCCAGGGCUGCCUCCCAUCCCUCGGAGCAGCUGUAGUUUCACUGUGGUAUCAUACGACCCCCUGCUGGCCUCAUUUUUCUCCUCAGCACUUCUGGCAUCCCAAUUUUUCUGGUUUCUCCCUCAUCGAGGAUCUCCAAGGUGUCACCUCCUGCAGGCAUUCCUUUCUGAGGAUGAAAGUAAUGUUUUUUGGGGAAGGAUGGCCUCGAAAGGGCCCGACUGGUGUUGCCCAGCAUCGUCCUGCUCCCUCUGCAGCGGUGGUGACGGUCCCUGGCAGGAACCAACCGUAUCUCAGGCUAAUGAGUUGUCAGAAACCCGUCCCCGUGCCUCGCCUCCCGGGCAGGUUAUUAUUAUGAGGGCUGUCAGUGGCGGGUGAGGAUGGGGCAAGCAAUCCAUUUCUGCAGCCAGCGGGGAGCUGCGAAUCUGUUCACAGGGGAUCAGCGGGGUGCUGUGGGAACCGGCCUGCCCUGCAAGCGUCCACCAAGGGCUACCAUUCAAGAGAGCACUGUGGGUUCAUGGCGAGCGCAGCGAGCUUGCCUCUAAUGUAUGCCCUAAUGAGUCAGCGGAGGGUGUUCUGCCUGCCUGAAUGUCUUUAGUGUGGCAAAGCGGAGUGGACAUUCCCAUACAAUAGUGGGCUUAAAUUCAGCCUCUCACCGAUGUCUAAUUCAUGGGCGGAACGGCUUUUGUAAUACCUAUAGAAGAGAAGUACAGUAGGUCACUCCUUCAACUAAUUGGAGUUGACAAUCCCAUAUCUGUCCAUAUCUCAGAGCCAUUUGCACACAGUUGGAAAGGGAGGCAUUUCGUCUUUGCUCAUGUGGUCAGCCACCGGGAAGUGAAAAGAAUGUAUGGGUUUCUGCUUCAGGCAGUCUCAGAUUUGCAACAAAAACUAACAUAACUGAGCAAUGUCUUUUUCACUUAAUGGCAGGUAGAGCAGUAAGGGUUAUCUUUCUUACCUUCAUUCUCCAGCUUUUAAAUCAUGCUUCUUUUCCCCUACCCAUGGUUUGCUAUCUCUGCAGGGCACCCUUUUAUAACUUUUUGCCCUGAAGCAGAGACUUGAUCAUGUGCAAGUCUUCUGGGUGCCAUCAUAACCUCAAGGGCCAGAAGAAUGCAAAAUGCCCCUGCUCUGCAAAUGGGAGUUUCACAACUUGCUAAAAGCCGCUUGCUGGACCGGUAGUAGGGGUAAGACUGAUCCCUGACCCCGCACCUAGAAUGAUAAAGUGCAUCAAAGGUGUCAUGUGUUUUAGCCUGUUCGAGCAUGACGUGAACUUCUGCUACUAUCAACACUUUAUCCACUCUCUCGUUCAGAUACAGCAGUUUUAUUUGAGUGUACACAGAGAGUAUUAAUGCUUCCAAUUUAAUCUGGCACAUAACACCUGAAGAAGAAGAUUUCCCAAAUUCCGUGAGGAAGCCAUAUGGGUACUUUGCAGUGAUACACCAGUUAAAAUUGGAUCCUCUCCUUUCUUCAGCAGACCAUUUUUUCCUCAAAAGCAUCAGCCACAAAUCUAGGUCACAUCCCCUCCCCACCUAUGGCAGUGUUUGGGAAGAAUUAACACUGGUUUGAACCAACUUGGGGGAUUUAAACUUUUUUUUUUUUUAAUAAAAGCUUGGGUUUGUCCACUUGUCAUGGUAAAACUCCAGACUUGCUCAGUGGAAUCCUCAACUCUGUUAACAGUAUAUGAUGAAAUCAUAUAACUAAAUGACUGAUCUUUUCCACUUACUAAAGGCCAAUUCCACAUGAGCUCCAACAUGUAGAACAUGGUAAAAUUGCCUGGUUUGUACUUCAUGCUGGGACUGAAAGAGACUGCAGCACCACCAGGCUGGAAACAAAUAAACUUUACACAUCAAUCCUCUUGACUUAGAGGUAAUUUAGUCGUUCUUGAUUUGACAUGGAAGUUUUGUAAGAUGUUAUAGAGCCGGAAAACAGAAUAAAGCCACACAAUAUUCAAAAAAAGAUGAGAUAAACUGCUACUUUAUUUUUCUAAAUAUGUUCAUUAAGGAUAUUAAUUUACUUAUGAGGAAAGGCUUUGCUAUGUUUUUCCUUUUAAAAAAUAAUGAUCUGCUGGAAGUGUGGGAAAUAUGCUUUAAAAAACCCAGUAAAUGGAGCACACGUCAGUAAAGACAGCUCAAUUUCGUUCCGGUGGUGUGAUCACAAAAACAUUUUCUACCAUGCAACUUUUAAUUAGUCUCGCAAAAAAUUAUUCUGCUUCACUUAUACAGAGUACAGUAAAUGGCUACAUAAAUGCAUCAGGAAUGAAAUAAAUACGCUUUGUUCAAAUGUGGUAACCUUUGGGAAAUAAGAUGAUAAGAGAAUGAA
Taeniopygia guttata (zebra finch) is the source of this 2526-nucleotide long non-coding RNA. RefSeq lists it as uncharacterized. NCBI's taxonomy places the organism in Eukaryota, Metazoa, Chordata, Aves, Passeriformes, Estrildidae. The record is from RefSeq and is a predicted model, not a curated record.